This 159-nucleotide ribosomal RNA is filed under the name Enterococcus faecium. Its description in RNAcentral is "partial 16S ribosomal RNA". It matches the Rfam family "Bacterial small subunit ribosomal RNA", at positions 1384 to 1533 of the family's 1533-position model. The record is from RNAcentral. Lineage: Bacteria; Bacillati; Bacillota; Bacilli; Lactobacillales; Enterococcaceae.
UACACACCGCCCGUCACACCACGAGAGUUUGUAACACCCGAAGUCGGUGAGGUAACCUUUUGGAGCCAGCCGCCUAAGGUGGGAUAGAUGAAUGGGGUGAAGUCGUAACGGUAACCGUAUCCGAAGGUGCCGCUUGAUCACCUUCCUUCACUAAGGAAU